Molecule: ribosomal RNA, 876 nt
Filed under: uncultured eukaryote
Lineage: Eukaryota
Description: SSU rRNA
Rfam family: Eukaryotic small subunit ribosomal RNA
Source: RNAcentral
GCAGCCGCGGUAAUUCCAGCUCCAAUAGCGUAUAUUAAAGUUGUUGUGGUUAAAAAGCUCGUAGUUGGAUCUCGGCGAACAGGGGGCGGUUCGUUAUUUGACGGUACUGCCCCAUUUGUUCGUAUUUUUGCAAGAGGGUUGGGGGUCCCCUUCAUUGGGUGUCUCCGGUCGCUUGCAGGUUUACUUUGAAAAAAUUAGAGUGCUCAAAGCAGGCUUACACGCUUGAAUAUUCGUGCAUGGAAUAAUAGAAUAGGAAGUCGUUUCUAUUUUGUUGGUUUUCGGAAAAUGACUUAAUGAUUAAUAGGGACAAUCGGGGGCAUUAGUAUUCAAACGACAGAGGUGAAAUUCUUGGACCGUUUGAAGACUAACUACUGCGAAAGCAUUUGCCAAGAGUGUUUUCAUUAAUCAAGAACGAAAGUUAGAGGUUCGAAGGCGAUCAGAUACCGCCCUAGUUCUAACCAUAAACGAUGCCAGCUAGCGAUCUGCGGGCGUUCAAUUUUAAGGCCCCGCGGGAAGCUUCCGGGAAACCAAAGCAUGUGGGUUCCGGGGGAAGUAUGGUUGCAAAGCUGAAACUUAAAGGAAUUGACGGAAGGGCACCACCAGGAGUGGAGCCUGCGGCUUAAUUUGACUCAACACGGGAAAUCUCACCAGGCCCGGACACUGGAAGGAUUGACAGAUUGAGAGCUCUUUCUCGAUUCAGUGGGUGGUGGUGCAUGGCCGUUCUUAGUUGGUGGAGUGAUUUGUCUGGUUAAUUCCGAUAACGAACGAGACUCUGUCCUGCUAAAUAGUUUCCCGAUCUCUGAUUGUCGGGAAAAUUCUUCUUAGAGGGACUGGCGGAUCCUAGCCGCACGAGAUUGAGCAAUAACAGGUCUGUGA